GAAUAAAGACUUUAUAAGUAUUGUAUAGAUGCAUUACGGGGUAAUUACUCCUUGGGCAGUAAGACGCACAGUCCUACUGCCAAGGGAGAUUUGCCCUGCAAUUCAUCGUCUACAACAAGUUACUUAGCCAAAGAACGGAGGAUCCUUUGCUUAAACAAGAGUUGGAUUGAUGUUAUAGAACGAAAUCGUUAUCUCCAUUGAUGCUGAAGAAAUGCUAACAGAAAUUGAAGGGUUAGCUCUUUUCCAUAAACGACCAAGUUAGUGGAGUUUUUGCCAUCCAUCUAGACUCGAUGCUCAUCAAUUCAUCGCCAUUCUGAAAUCGACGAUGCCAUUGCGGAAGCCAAACCGGAGGACGUAUCAGUGAAAUUGAAAGAACUACUGGGUUCAGGCUUGUGGUCACAAUUGUGGGAGGUGGAAUCAAUGAUUACCCCACACACGUUCAUAUGAAAAGUAAUCUAGAAAAUGUGAUUCCAGCAAGUAAUCUAUGGUUUCGAGUUUCCCUUUGUUUCCACCAGAUUUAAACUAGAAAUGAGUAGAAUAAAAAGUUAUUGGUUUG
Molecule: non-coding RNA, 556 nt
Organism: Lactuca sativa (garden lettuce)
Lineage: Eukaryota; Viridiplantae; Streptophyta; Magnoliopsida; Asterales; Asteraceae
Source: RefSeq, a predicted model, not a curated record